This is a long non-coding RNA of Felis catus (domestic cat), 3148 nucleotides long. RefSeq lists it as uncharacterized. Lineage: Eukaryota; Metazoa; Chordata; Mammalia; Carnivora; Felidae. The record is from RefSeq and is a predicted model, not a curated record. The transcript is spliced from 5 exons.
UUGGGUGCUCAGAAGGGGCUAGCAAAACUUGGGACGAAAACAGUUCAUUGGUAGGACCACAUAAUAACGCGUGCUCUGCCUGUGUCCUUUACAUAUUUCCUCAGGGCAUCUUCAGACACACUCGGGACUCCAUGCCAGAGAAGGUGCAGGUGCCUGAACACAUCACUGCCGGGACGAAAUGUUCUCCCUGAGAAAUGGCUCUGACGCUCCAACCCCAGGGCCCUGGCAGCCUGGACUCCUGAAGCAGGAACCACAACCAGAGGGGAAUAAGAAAUUAAUUAGGACCUCCUGUCGGGACUACUAACGUGGACCUGCAAUUCUACCAGACGGUGGGAGAAGUGACUAAGAAGAUAGCAACCGCUUCCCAGUCCUGACCUCCGUGAUCUCAUUUCACAUGACUUCACAGACCUUCGCUACCUCCCUUUGGAAAUAGAAAGAGUCCCUCUGCGGACGGACCAUGGAUGCUUCAGAGGGAUGUGCUUUCUCCCUUCAGAACAGUACAACCGUCACGGCCUGAGAUAUCACGAGUGUUGAUGGCAGAUGAUGGGAGAAGUGGGAGGUGGAAGGUGGUCCCACUAUGUGAGAAGUGCUGGGGAAAGCCCUUUAGAAACGAGGCCUGGCCUGGAAACUUCUCAACUGAUAAUCGGGGUAUCCUGGAUUAUUAAUGUACUAAGGGGAGAUUUUAUUAAGAAUUUGAACAGAUCUUAUAGAGAAAGAGAGCCUCUGAAUAAAACCCCUAAUUCACUUUAUUUUUCUAAGUAAUUAGAACGUAUUUAUUCAAUGAUUGAAUCUGACAUUGCAUAUACAUUUAUAAAAAUUGCUUAAUUUUAUUUAUUUUUUAUUUGAGACAGAGAGUAUGCGCGGGGCAGAGGGAUAAAGAGAGAGAAUCUUAAGCAGGCUCCAUACUCAGCGUGGAGCCCGACAUGGGGCUUGAUUCCGUGACACUGGGAUCAUGACCUGAGACGAAAUCAAGAGUCAGAUCCUCAACCUACUGAGCCAUCCAGGUGCCCCACAACUGCUUAAUAUUUCAAACAUACCACACACGUAUAUGCAAAAUACCUUCUGUAUAUGAAGACAUAAUUCAUAUAUGUCUGUCGCCAUUACAUGAGACUGUAUUCCCCAAAGCCACUAUUAUGAAUAUAUGUAAAUUUAGGAAGAGUGCUUAAUUACUGCUGGAAGCCCAUGCAGGGUUUCUUGGAGGUAGACUGACGUGUUGCUCAAGUGUUUGGGGGCAUAUCUGUAGCCAGUGCUAAUGCUGGAAGGCCUUUUGUGAUUCAGUAACUCCCGGAGUCAGCAGACAUUUACCAAGAGCCUUCUAUAUGCCCUGCUCUAGGGCGAAUACACAGAACGUGCUCUCUGCUCCUCAGGAGCUCACAACCAACUUUCGUGAGUUCUUUGACAUCUGCCAGAAGAAAAAGUCAUUGGUACAUGGUGAUCCCUGCGUGAGUAAGUAUAUGUUAAUUUCACUUCUCAGUUACAGUCAACUGAACUGUGAGUCUGCAAAUUACGCAACUUGUAAGUGCCAUCCUUAGGCACUCGUCGUCUGGCAGUAACAUCAAUAUUUAAGCAAAUACAGAUAAUCUAAGCAGUCCAAGCAAGGCAAGUGGUGUAUGAAGUGGAAGCGGCCAGUCAGAAAAAGGACUCUAUCUGAUCUGGGCACUGGAGGACGCAACAAGCAAGAGACAGUAGAGACAAUCCUAAUGCUGUUGACUGGGUUAGUCAUUCCUCUUAAAGGACGGUACGGACCAGGCGCAGAGGAACGACAUGUACGUCCCUAAGGGAGUGGAAAGCAGUCUGGUGAUGUAAGAGCAUCAGGAAGAGGCUUCUAGGAUCACAAGCCCUAGUCCCAGCAUCUAGCAGCCCCUGGGAUCACAAGCCCCAGUCCUUACCUGCUGAGCCAUGGCUCGAAUGCGCCAGUACUCGGCCUCCGCACUGGGGGAGGAGGAGGGGGCGGCCACCCUCACCUGGCAGCCUUCCCCACUGAAGCUCUCCGUGCCGCUGUGGAAGCAGCCCAGCAGAUCCUAGGGAGAAACACAGCAGACAUUCCCUGGGUGCGUCCAGGCCCCGUCCCGGAGCUGACACUGUCCCUGCGUCCGGGACGGAAGCACUGAUCCGACAACUUCUCUCUCCCCCUCUGCCGGAUUGCGGGUGAGACAGCCUGCUAAGGGGAGGAGGGCAGAAUCUGGGUGCCCGACCUGACAGGGGGAGGGGGCAAAGGAAGGCUGGCCCCUGCUCGGGCUCCUCCUGCCCGCACUUUACCUUCACCGGCUUGAGCGUGGCGGAGAACGCGUCCUGCAGGGCACAGCACGCGAGCCUCCACAUCUCCUCGGUGAACACGGGGCCCGCCGUGACGAGGACAUACCUGCCCAGGGAAACAAGGAGAUCCUGAAUCUGUAUGUUUGUCAUCACACGGUGAGCAGCCCACCCUGGAGAUGGUCUCUGUGGGCUUGGCCACACACGCCACCAGUAACUCAAACAGGUCCUUCAGCAUCGUGUUGAUCAUGCUCUCAUACCUGAUGUCUACGGGGAAAAGUAAGACCACGAUUUCACUCAGUAAAGGAGGGGGUUGAAAUGGCAUCUGCAGCGAAAGGAGGAAGUCCUAUGAACAUCUGCGAGAAACGUAAUUUUCUUGGAUUUUUUAAACUCAAUUUUAGCUUGUAUUAUCCAUUUCAAGAUGAAAUAUAUGUGGUUUGCUUUCAUGUGUCGGUGUGCAUUCAAAGUUAAGCGUAUAAUUCACCUACUUUACUAAUUUAUUACUAUUAGGCGGAAUACAGCAUCUACAGCCUGAGGAGUGGCUAGCAAAAAAUUUAAAUUCUUAAAAAAACAAAAAAGAGAAAAAUAGAACGUAUACAUUCCUUAUUGCUGAUAGACUAAAUUGAAUUCAAUGCUCUCAGCAAACAAGACCUCUCUUGUCUUACCACUUUCUUGAACUUUCAGUCUGGCACACUAUCCCCAGACCGAAGGUGAGACUUCCCCAAGUCAUUCUGUUUGUCCAAUUCAAGGGAAUACAUCUGUAUUCUUUUCCCUCAGAGUCCUUGUGAUGCCACAGAUUCCAUUUUCAGUAGGAUCAUCAAAGGUUCUGGGCCGUGCAAAAACAAUGACCUAGAUGAGAACAUCUACCCCUAGGGACAGUUAUCGCUUACACGUG